This 253-nucleotide ribosomal RNA is filed under the name uncultured bacterium. RNAcentral describes it as "partial 16S ribosomal RNA". It matches the Rfam family "Bacterial small subunit ribosomal RNA", at positions 524 to 776 of the family's 1533-position model. The record is from RNAcentral.
UACGUAGGGUGCGAGCGUUGUCCGGCAUUAUUGGGCGUAAAGGGCUCGUAGGCGGUUUGUCGCGUCGGGAGUGAAAACCAGGUGCUUAACACCUGGCUUGCUUUCGAUACGGGCAGACUAGAGGUAUUCAGGGGAGAACGGAAUUCCUGGUGUAGCGGUGAAAUGCGCAGAUAUCAGGAGGAACACCGGUGGCGAAGGCGGUUCUCUGGGAAUGACCUGACGCUGAGGAGCGAAAGUGUGGGGAGCGAACAGG